This 497-nucleotide ribosomal RNA is filed under the name uncultured bacterium. RNAcentral's name for it is "partial 16S ribosomal RNA". It matches the Rfam family "Bacterial small subunit ribosomal RNA", at positions 28 to 507 of the family's 1533-position model. The record is from RNAcentral.
GAUGAACGCUGGCGGCGUGCCUAAUACAUGCAAGUCGAGCGAACGGACGAGAAGCUUGCUUUUCUGAUGUUAGCGGCGGACGGGUGAGUAACACGUGGAUAACCUACCUAUAAGACUGGGAUAACUUCGGGAAACCGGAGCUAAUACCGGAUAAUAUUUUGAACCGCAUGGUUCAAAAGUGAAAGACGGUCUUGCUGUCACUUAUAGAUGGAUCCGCGCUGCAUUAGCUAGUUGGUAAGGUAACGGCUUAACAAGGCAACGAUGCAUAGCCGACCUGAGAGGGUGAUUGGCCACACUGCAACUGAGACACGGUCCAGACUCCUACGGGAGGCAGCAGUAGGGAAUCUUCCGCAAUGGGCGAAAGCCUGACGGAGCAACGCCGCGUGAGUGAUGAAGGUCUUCGGAUCGUAAAACUCUGUUAUUAGGGAAGAACAUAUGUGUAAGUAACUGUGCACAUCUUGACGGUACCUAAUCAGAAAGCCACGGCUAACUACGUG